This 253-nucleotide ribosomal RNA is filed under the name uncultured bacterium. Its description in RNAcentral is "partial 16S ribosomal RNA". It matches the Rfam family "Bacterial small subunit ribosomal RNA", at positions 524 to 776 of the family's 1533-position model. The record is from RNAcentral.
UACAGAGGUCCCAAGCGUUGUUCGGAUUCACUGGGCGUAAAGGGUGCGUAGGUGGUGAGGUAAGUCGGAUGUGAAAGCUCGGAGCUCAACUCCGAAAUGGCAUUGGAAACUACCUUGCUCGAGGGUUGGAGGGGGGACUGGAAUGCUUGGUGUAGCAGUGAAAUGCGUAGAUAUCAAGCGGAACACCAGUGGCGAAGGCGGGUCUCUGGGCCAUAACUGACGCUGAGGAGCGAAAGCGUGGGGAGCGAACAGG